This 114-nucleotide ribosomal RNA is filed under the name Escherichia coli. Its description in RNAcentral is "partial 23S ribosomal RNA". The stretch from base 1 to 102 matches the Rfam family "Bacterial large subunit ribosomal RNA", at positions 2824 to 2925 of the family's 2925-position model. Lineage: Bacteria; Pseudomonadati; Pseudomonadota; Gammaproteobacteria; Enterobacterales; Enterobacteriaceae. The record is from RNAcentral.
GUCCUGAAGGAACGUUGAAGACGACGACGUUGAUAGGCCGGGUGUGUAAGCGCAGCGAUGCGUUGAGCUAACCGGUACUAAUGAACCGUGAGGCUUAACCUUACAAUGCCGAAG